RNAcentral lists this ribosomal RNA (590 nucleotides) under uncultured bacterium. Its description in RNAcentral is "bacterial SSU rRNA". It matches the Rfam family "Bacterial small subunit ribosomal RNA", at positions 52 to 646 of the family's 1533-position model. The record is from RNAcentral.
AACAUGCAGUCAAGGGUACAUUGGUGCUGCACAGAUGACGACGGCGAACGGGCGCGUAACGCGUAUCAAUUUACCUUAUACAGGGAGAUAGCCUUUAAAAUGAAGAUUAAUAUCCCAUAGUUUAAUGAUCUGGCAUCAUAUUAUUAAUAAAGAUUUAUCGGUAUAAGAUGAGUAUGCGUCCUAUUAGCUAGAUGGUGAGGUAAAAGCUCACCAUGGCAACGAUAGGUAGGGGCCCUGAGAGGGGGAUCCCCCACACUGGUACUGAGACACGGACCAGACUCCUACGGGAGGCAGCAGUGAGGAAUAUUGGACAAUGGAGGCAACUCUGAUCCAGCCAUGCCGCGUGCAGGAAGACGGUCCUAUGGAUUGUAAACUGCCUUUAUAGAGGAAGAAACCUUUCCACGUGUGGAAAGCUGACGGUACUCUACGAAUAAGCACCGGCUAACUCCGUGCCAGCAGCCGCGGUAAUACGGAGGGUGCAAGCGUUAUCCGGAAUCAUUGGGUUUAAAGGGUCCGUAGGCGGGCAAUUAAGUCAGAGGUGAAAUCCCACAGCUCAACUGUGGAACUGCUUUGAUACUGAUUGUCUUGAA